Ipomoea nil (Japanese morning glory) is the source of this 408-nucleotide long non-coding RNA. RefSeq lists it as uncharacterized. The transcript is spliced from 2 exons. The record is from RefSeq and is a predicted model, not a curated record. NCBI's taxonomy places the organism in Eukaryota, Viridiplantae, Streptophyta, Magnoliopsida, Solanales, Convolvulaceae.
UCUUAAUAUCGUAUUGUGUUUCUAUUCCAAAAAUUUAGAUUGCUUGGAAUUUGGAUUCAAUCAGUUAAUUGGAUUUAAAAUUCUGCCCUUUUUUCCAGAUUAAAGUUAUGGUGAGCAACGAUGAGCUGAGUGAGAGUCAAAGGCGUGCUAAAUUGGAGGCAGAAUACGACAAGUUAUAUGCUUCUGUCAUGAAAAGGAAAAGUUUGAUUGACGAGAUGCAUGUCACUGUAGACGAGCUGACCCACAAAGCGGAGGAGACCAAAAAGGCUUUCGAUCAUGAGGUUAAGAUGCUGGUGACUUUGGUGCACAAAUUGUCUGAUCAAAUAAUUGCUUUAAAGAAAAUUGUUUUAAAGAAAAAAUGUCAAAUAGACCGUUGAAUUUUUACAUUUUAUCUAUACUAGUUUUUUA